RNAcentral lists this ribosomal RNA (256 nucleotides) under uncultured Lactobacillus sp. RNAcentral's name for it is "partial 16S ribosomal RNA". It matches the Rfam family "Bacterial small subunit ribosomal RNA", at positions 107 to 354 of the family's 1533-position model. The record is from RNAcentral. Lineage: Bacteria; Bacillati; Bacillota; Bacilli; Lactobacillales; Lactobacillaceae.
UGAGUAACGCGUGGGUAACCUGCCCUUAAGUCUGGGAUACCAUUUGGAAACAGAUGCUAAUACCGGAUAAAAGCUACUUUCGCAUGAAAGAAGUUUAAAAGGCGGCGUAAGCUGUCGCUAAAGGAUGGACCUGCGAUGCAUUAGCUAGUCGGUAAGGUAACGGCUUACCAAGGCGAUGAUGCAUAGCCGAGUUGAGAGACUGAUCGGCCACAUUGGGACUGAGACACGGCCCAAACUCCUACGGGAGGCAGCAGGC